Molecule: transfer-messenger RNA, 355 nt
Filed under: Dehalococcoidia
Lineage: Bacteria; Bacillati; Chloroflexota
Also listed under: 2 other names
Description: o UBA6952 X1 Standard tmRNA
Rfam family: transfer-messenger RNA
About the family: Bacterial tmRNA, also known as 10Sa RNA or SsrA, is named for its dual tRNA and mRNA-like properties. Its role is to liberate the mRNA from a stalled ribosome.
Source: RNAcentral
GGGGACGCGUGGUUUCGACAGGGGGUUGUUCUGUGGAAUUGCAGGCCGAGGUGCCGUCUCGCCUCGUAAAACAGGCGGCAAAACAAUAAAUGGCGAGCCUCAACUCGCACUAGCCGCCUAAGGGCUGCUACGUCUGUCUUCGUCUCGCUCCGAGGACGGGGAACAGGCGCCAUGUUAUCGGAGUGCGGUUAACCCAUACGUCGAUAAGGGUUGCCAAAGAACUAUCGACUAACUUGGCUGCUACUCUGCCGGUGGAGGGGUGCCCGGGUGAAUAAUUAAGCACCGGAUAUGCCUGUAGUACAUUCUAGUGGGGCGCUUUCUGGACGGGGGGUUCGACUCCCCCCCGUCUCCACCA